RNAcentral lists this ribosomal RNA (897 nucleotides) under uncultured bacterium. RNAcentral describes it as "bacterial SSU rRNA". It matches the Rfam family "Bacterial small subunit ribosomal RNA", at positions 8 to 916 of the family's 1533-position model. The record is from RNAcentral.
AGAGUUUGAUCCUGGCUCAGGAUGAACGCUGGCGGCGUGCUUAACACAUGCAAGUCGAACGAGGUCCAUGGAGCUUGCUCCGGAAGACCUAGUGGCGAACGGGUGCGUAACACGUGAGAAACCUGCCCCGAUCUCUGGGAUAACAGUUGGAAACGACUGCUAAUACCGGAUGCCGUCACACCGCUUCAUGGCGGAGUGCCGAAAGAUUUAUCGGAUCGGGAGGGUCUCGCGGCCUAUCAGCUAGUUGGAGAGGUAACGGCUCACCAAGGCAUCGACGGGUAGCUGGUCUGAGAGGAUGAUCAGCCACACUGGGACUGGGACACGGCCCAGACUCCUACGGGAGGCAGCAGUGGGGAAUCUUGCACAAUGGGCGAAAGCCUGAUGCAGCAACGCCGCGUGCGGGAUGAAGGCCCUAGGGUUGUAAACCGCUUUCAGUAGGGAAGAAAAUGACGGUACCUACAGAAGAAGGUGCGGCCAACUACGUGCCAGCAGCCGCGGUGACACGUAGGCACCAAGCGUUAUCCGGAUUUAUUGGGCGUAAAGAGCUCGUAGGCGGUUCGGUAAGUCGGGUGUGAAAACUCUGGGCUCAACCCAGAGACGCCACCCGAUACUGCUGUGACUAGAGUGCGGUAGGGGAGCGGGGAAUUCAUGGUGUAGCGGUGAAAUGCGCAGAUAUCAUGAGGAACACCAGCGGCGAAGGCGCCGCUCUGGGCCGUAACUGACGCUGAGGAGCGAAAGCAUGGGUAGCAAACAGGAUUAGAUACCCUGGUAGUCCAUGCCGUAAACGUUGGGCACUAGGUGUGGGUCUCAACCAACGAGAUCCGCGCCGUCGCUAACGCAUUAAGUGCCCCGCCUGGGGAGUACGGUCGCAAGACUAAAACUUAAAGGAAUUGACGG